This 465-nucleotide ribosomal RNA is filed under the name uncultured Klebsiella sp. Its description in RNAcentral is "bacterial SSU rRNA". It matches the Rfam family "Bacterial small subunit ribosomal RNA", at positions 338 to 795 of the family's 1533-position model. The record is from RNAcentral. Lineage: Bacteria; Pseudomonadati; Pseudomonadota; Gammaproteobacteria; Enterobacterales; Enterobacteriaceae.
CCUACGGGGGGCUGCAGUGGGGAAUAUUGCACAAUGGGCGCAAGCCUGAUGCAGCCAUGCCGCGUGUGUGAAGAAGGCCUUCGGGUUGUAAAGCACUUUCAGCGGGGAGGAAGGCGGUGAGGUUAAUAACCUCAUCGAUUGACGUUACCCGCAGAAGAAGCACCGGCUAACUCCGUGCCAGCAGCCGCGGUAAUACGGAGGGUGCAAGCGUUAAUCGGAAUUACUGGGCGUAAAGCGCACGCAGGCGGUCUGUCAAGUCGGAUGUGAAAUCCCCGGGCUCAACCUGGGAACUGCAUUCGAAACUGGCAGGCUAGAGUCUUGUAGAGGGGGGUAGAAUUCCAGGUGUAGCGGUGAAAUGCGUAGAGAUCUGGAGGAAUACCGGUGGCGAAGGCGGCCCCCUGGACAAUGACUGACGCUCAGGUGCGAAAGCGUGGGGAGCAAACAGGAUUAGAUACCCUAGUAGUC